RNAcentral lists this unclassified non-coding RNA (1119 nucleotides) under Hevea brasiliensis (rubber tree). The record is from RNAcentral. Lineage: Eukaryota; Viridiplantae; Streptophyta; Magnoliopsida; Malpighiales; Euphorbiaceae.
UAAAGAUUCAAAAAAAAUAAAAAUGGGGAAUGUUAAUGGAAGAGAAGAAAACGAGGGCAAUAUCCCAUCUGGGGUUGAAGGGGUUGAUGGGAUUGAUUCUGGUGGGGUCCAAGAUAUCAUGGCCGUUCAUCAGGUUGAUGGAGAGUUUAUGGGUCAAUCUCCACCGUCCAGUCCUAGGGCAUCUCGUUCACCUUUGAUGUUUAGACCUGAGAUGCCAGUGGUUCCUCUACAGAGACCUGAUGAGGGGCAUGGCCCAAGCAUUUCAUGGUCACAAACCACCUCAGGUUAUGAGGAACCUUGUGACGAGCAAGGAGUUCCAACACUUAUAUCUUGGACUCUUGAUGGCAAAGAAGUUGCUGUGGAGGGAUCAUGGGAUAAUUGGAAGUCAAGGAUGCCUCUGCAAAAAUCAGGGAAGGAUUUCACCAUUUUGAAGGUGCUUCCUUCAGGGGUAUACCAAUAUAGGUUUAUAGUUGACGGACAAUGGAGGUGUUCCCCUGACUUGCCAUGUGUUCAGGAUGAAGCAGGGAAUACUUACAACCUUUUAGACAUGAAGGAUUACGUUCCAGAAGACAUCGAAAGCAUUUCUGGUUUCGAACCUCCUCAGUCCCCUGAUUCCAGCUACAACAACUUGCACCUUGUAUCCGAGGACUACGCUAAGGAGCCACCCGUGGUCCCACCCCAUCUACAGAUGACUUUGCUGAACGUUUCUCCAUCUCACAUGGAAAUUCCACCUCCGCUUUCAAGACCUCAGCACGUGGUACUUAACCAUCUCUACAUGCAGAAAGAUAGGAGUACCCCUUCUGUGGUUGCACUCGGUUCAACUAACCGGUUCCUGUCCAAAUACGUUACUGUGGUUCUUUACAAGUCAAUACAGAGGUGAAGAUUUCGAUCAACUUGUCUUUACAAUAGUCUUAAAUAACUCGAGUACUCGUAGCUCAAUAUUAGAAGUCAAGUUGGUUCAUGUUUUCUGCAGUUAAAAGGCCAAAAAGAGAAGAAGAACAAUAGAGGUAAUGUUUAGAAGUUUAUAUUGUAGCAAAGCUUGAUUGUCACUUCAUUUACUUUUCCAUCUCUCAUUUGCCCCUUUUUUCUUCUUUUAACAUACAAUUUGAUCAAUUCCAA